This 75-nucleotide transfer RNA is filed under the name Breoghania sp. L-A4. RNAcentral's name for it is "tRNA-Glu". It matches the Rfam family "tRNA". Rfam says of the family: Transfer RNA (tRNA) molecules are approximately 80 nucleotides in length. The record is from RNAcentral. Lineage: Bacteria; Pseudomonadati; Pseudomonadota; Alphaproteobacteria; Hyphomicrobiales; Stappiaceae.
GCGCCCAUCGUCUAGCGGUUAGGACGUCGCCCUUUCACGGCGGAGACAGGGGUUCGAUUCCCCUUGGGCGUACCA